Molecule: ribosomal RNA, 497 nt
Filed under: uncultured bacterium
Lineage: Bacteria
Description: partial 16S ribosomal RNA
Rfam family: Bacterial small subunit ribosomal RNA
Source: RNAcentral
GAUGAACGCUGGCGGCGUGCCUAAUACAUGCAAGUCGAGCGAACGGACGAGGAGCUUGCUCCUCUGACGUUAGCGGCGGACGGGUGAGUAACACGUGGAUAACCUACCUAUAAGACUGGGAUAACUUCGGGAAACCGGAGCUAAUACCGGAUAAUAUAUUGAACCGCAUGGUUCAAUAGUGAAAGACGGUUUUGCUGUCACUUAUAGAUGGAUCCGCGCCGCAUUAGCUAGUUGGUAAGGUAACGGCUUACCAAGGCAACGAUGCGUAGCCGACCUGAGAGGGUGAUCGGCCACACUGGAACUGAGACACGGUCCAGACUCCUACGGGAGGCAGCAGUAGGGAAUCUUCCGCAAUGGGCGAAAGCCUGACGGAGCAACGCCGCGUGAAUGAUGAAGGUCUUCGGAUCGUAAAACUCUGUUAUUAGGGAAGAACAAAUGUGUAAGUAACUAUGCACGUCUUGACGGUACCUAAUCAGAAAGCCACGGCUAACUACGUG